UACGAAGGGGGCUAGCGUUGCUCGGAAUCACUGGGCGUAAAGCGCACGUAGGCGGCUUUCUAAGUCAGGGGUGAAAUCCUGGAGCUCAACUCCAGAACUGCCUUUGAUACUGGAGAGCUCGAGUCCGGGAGAGGUGAGUGGAACUCCGAGUGUAGAGGUGAAAUUCGUAGAUAUUCGGAAGAACACCAGUGGCGAAGGCGGCUCACUGGCCCGGUACUGACGCUGAGAUACGAAAGCGUGGGGAGCAAACAGG
This 253-nucleotide ribosomal RNA is filed under the name uncultured bacterium. Its description in RNAcentral is "partial 16S ribosomal RNA". It matches the Rfam family "Bacterial small subunit ribosomal RNA", at positions 524 to 776 of the family's 1533-position model. The record is from RNAcentral.